RNAcentral lists this long non-coding RNA (1272 nucleotides) under Coturnix japonica (Japanese quail). Its description in RNAcentral is "lncRNA (ENSCJPG00005008394.1)". Lineage: Eukaryota; Metazoa; Chordata; Aves; Galliformes; Phasianidae. The record is from RNAcentral.
ACUUGAUAGAAGUUAGAUUGAAUUUAUUUCAUUAUACCUAAGAAUCAAUUGAUAUAACUUGAACUGUAAUUUGCCUUUUUUUUUUUUUUUUUUCCUCAUCAGAUGAAACCUUUUUACCAGGGUCAUUUCUAAUUGUAGGACUUGUGCUUGUAGAAGAAAAUAAAUGCUUUGGAGCACAACUGGGAUUUUGCUUAUAUCUAGAGUGUGAUGAAAAGGGUGAAAAAGCAGGGGAAAUGAAGGCCCUAUCACCACCUCUUCCAGUAAGGCUUGUACAACAGACUGAUUAAAUGAGAAAGGGAAAAUUAUACUAGUCUAAACAUAGUCUCCUCAUUCAAGUUUUUAACAGAGUUGCAACAAAUUCUGAGCUGCCCAGGAAUUGCCAAGAUAUGACCUUUUUAAUUCUUCAGACAAUGGGGAAAAAAGAUCAAUCUAAAAAGGCUUCAGGGGCUCCUACCAUUUUCUAAGAUGUGAAAUGGCUGCAAUGAGAAAACUGUCCAUAUCUGCAUAAUUCAUACCAGUGAAAGCAGAUCUACAGACAUUUAGUAGCAAUCAAUCACUUAUACUUGCUGUACUAUGUUAUCAAAGGCCUUUGAUCAGCUCAUAUGGUAAUAGCUGGGAAACAGCUCAUUCCUUAUGAAAUGUAGCAGAAUUUCCUUUACUUUUCCUUCCUGAAUUCUGAAAGCACAAUGCCAAGCUGAAUAUCUUCAGUGUCAAUGGAGAUUGAAAAAUAUUUCUUCUGGAGAGUAGGAUGCAAAGUCCCACCAACAACAUCACAGUUGGCUUCUCCUUUUACAGAGCAGCAGUGCUCAAGCCCAGCUCAGAUUGCAGAGUAUCUAUCCCUUUGGCUUCAGGGAGCUGUUAUGAGAUUUUCAGUGGGGGCACACAUCAGCAUCAGUGUCAUUUGCUCUCGUCUACUUCAGACUCUAAAACAGCAGCUGCAGGAGAUGCCAUGGGCAUUCCACAACUCCUCUGCCUCCAAUUGCUCUCUGGUGCUUCUCUGAAGCAUUAAUGAGAGAGGAGAUGCUGUCUCCCAAGGUGGUGGGUGCUAAAAGAUAGUUACUGAAACAGGUUGAGAUGCGUCUCUGCUCUGUCCUUCUGGAAUAAUUAGAGUGGCAAGAAGUAGGAUGUUGCACAAGGGAAGUUUAUUCGUGUCUCUCUCAUAUGUCUGUAUUAAGUUAGGAAUGUGAUCAAUUCUAGGUAAGUUCAGAUAAAUUUUCUAUUAUGCUAGGAUUUGAAAAUAAAAACAAAAAACAACAAAUUAACUGUUACUGU